GAUGAACGCUGGCGGCGUGCCUAAUACAUGCAAGUCGAGCGAACAGAUGAGGAGCUUGCUCCUCUGACGUUAGCGGCGGACGGGUGAGUAACACGUGGAUAACCUACCUAUAAGACUGGGAUAACUUCGGGAAACCGGAGCUAAUACCGGAUAAUAUAUUGAACCGCAUGGUUCAAUAGAGAAAGACGGUUUUGCUGUCACUUAUAGAUGGAUCCGCGCCGCAUUAGCUAGUUGGUAAGGUAACGGCUUACCAAGGCAACGAUGCGUAGCCGACCUGAGAGGGUGAUCGGCCACCCUGGAACUGAGACACGGUCCAGACUCCUACGGGAGGCAGCAGUAGGGAAUCUUCCGCAAUGGGCGAAAGCCUGACGGAGCAACGCCGCGUGAGUGAUGAAGGUCUUCGGAUCGUAAAACUCUGUUAUUAGGGAAGAACAAAUGUGUAAGUAACUAUGCACGUCUUGACGGUACCUAAUCAGAAAGCCACGGCUAACUACGUG
Molecule: ribosomal RNA, 497 nt
Filed under: uncultured bacterium
Lineage: Bacteria
Description: partial 16S ribosomal RNA
Rfam family: Bacterial small subunit ribosomal RNA
Source: RNAcentral